AUGUGUCUGGCUAUCCCUGUUCUCUCCCCUCUGCACAGGCCAUACAAACACUUCACACCGCGUGGCCGCUGCCACUCUAACCUGGUGGUCCCAGCGCGCACGACCCACGUGGAGUUCCAGGUCUCCGGCAGCCUCUGGAACUGCCGGUCUGCGGCCAACAAGGCUGAGUUCAUCUCAGCCUAUGCUACCCUCCAGUCCCUAGACUUCCUGGCGCUGACGGAAACAUGGAUUACCACAGAUAACACUGCUACUCCUACUGCUCUCUCCUCGUCUGCCUACGUGUUCUCGCAUACCCCUAGAGCAUUGAGCCAGCGGGGUGGUGGCACUGGAAUCCUCAUCUCUCCCAAGUGGACAUUCUCUCUUUCUCCCCUGACCCAUCUGUCUAUCUCCUCAUUUGAAUUCCAUGCUGUCACAGUUACCAGCCCUUUCAAGCUUAACAUCCUUAUCAUUUAUCGCCCUCCAGGUUCCCUUGGAGAGUUCAUCAAUGAGCUUGAUGCCUUGAUAAGUUCCUUCACUGAGGAUGGCUCACCUCUCACAGUACUGGGUGACUUUAACCUCCCCACGUCUACCUUUGACUCAUUCCUCUCUGCCUCCUUCUUUCCACUCCUCUCCUCCUUUGACCUCACCCUCUCACCUUCCCCCCCUACUCACAAGGCAGGCAAUACGCUUGACCUCAUCUUUACUAGAUGCUGUUCUUCCACUAAUCUCAUUGCAACUCCCCUCCAAGUCUCCGACCACUACCUUGUAUCCUUUUCCCUCUCGCUCUCAUCCAACACUUCUCACUCUGCCCCUACUCAGAUGGUAUUGCGCCGUCCCAACCUUCGCUCCCUCUCUCCUGCUACUCUCUCCUCUUCCAUCGUAUCAUCUCUUCCCUCUGCUCAAACCUUCUCCAACCUAUCUCCUGAUUCUGCCUCCUCAACCCUCCUCUCCUCCCUUUCUGCAUCCUUCGAUUUUCUCUGUCCCCUAUCCUCCAGGCCGGCUCGGUCCUCCACUCCUGCGCCGUGGCUCGACGACUCACUCUGA
Molecule: long non-coding RNA, 1023 nt
Filed under: Salmo trutta (river trout)
Lineage: Eukaryota; Metazoa; Chordata; Actinopteri; Salmoniformes; Salmonidae
Description: lncRNA (ENSSTUG00000017910.1)
Source: RNAcentral